GGAGCCCAAGUCUCUGCACCGGAUUCCGGAGCACAAGCUCCACUGCGCAUGCGCACACGCCCUAGACCCAGGCUCAGGAGGACUGAGAAUUUUCUGACGGCAGUGCACCAUGGGAAGCUCUGAAGUUUCCGUAAUUCCUGGGCUCCAGAAAGAAGAAAAGGCGGCCGUGGAGAGACGAAGACUUCAUGUGCUGAAAGCUCUGAAGAAGCUAAGGAUUGAGGCUGAUGAGGGCAAUAUCUUCUCUCUACACCAACGACGGUGACAUGGAAGCUCUCGAGGCUGACCUGAAACAUCGAUUUACCCGACAGGAGUGGGACU
Molecule: small RNA, 318 nt
Filed under: Pan troglodytes (chimpanzee)
Lineage: Eukaryota; Metazoa; Chordata; Mammalia; Primates; Hominidae
Description: processed transcript
Source: RNAcentral